Molecule: long non-coding RNA, 393 nt
Filed under: Chrysolophus pictus (golden pheasant)
Lineage: Eukaryota; Metazoa; Chordata; Aves; Galliformes; Phasianidae
Description: lncRNA (ENSCPIG00010011323.1)
Source: RNAcentral
AUGAAUAGUCAAAGAAAGGAAGCUGUCAGGUUCGUACCCAUUUUCUGUCCCCCCUCACUUUCCCAAGGCGUGCGGGGCGGCGUUCAGCCCAGUUGGAGAGCAGGAGGAGAUGCCCCGCGCUGCUGGCUCUGGUGUGCUGCUGUCAGUCUGCCUUGGCUGUUUGUUUCUGAGGAGGGAGCAGUGACUCCAGCAGCAGUUCGAGUGAUGAGUCGCCGGCACGCUCAGUGCAGUCCACAGCAGUCCCUGCGCCUGCAUCCCAGCUGCUUCCAUCUCUGGAGAAAGAUGAACCCAGGAAAAGUUUUGGGAUCAAGGUCCAAAAUCUUCCAGUGCGCUCGACAGAUACAAGCCUUAAAGAUGGACUUUUCCAUGAAUUCAAGAAGUAUGGGAAGGUGA